GUGGGAUUAGCUAGUUGGUGGGGUAAAGGCCCACCAAGGCGACGAUCCCUAGCUGGUCUGAGAGGAUGGUCAGCCACACGGGGACUGAGAUACGGCCCCGACUCGUACGGGAGGCAGCAGCUAAGAAUCUUGCGCAAUGGGCGAAAGCCUGACGCAGCAAUUCCGCGUGGAGGACGAAGGCCUUCGGGUUGUAAACUCCUUUUGUGAGGGAAGAAGAUCUGACGGUACCUCACGAAUAAGACACGGCUAACUACGUGCCAGCAGCCGCGGUAAUACGUAGGUGUCGAGCGUUGUCCGGAUUUAUUGGGCGUAAAGCGCCCGCAGGCGGCCUGGCAAGUCCAGGGUGAAAUCUCCCGGCUCAACCGGGAGGGUGCCCUGGAAACUAUCAGGCUUGAGGCAGGGAGAGGGAUGUGGAAUUCCCGGUGUAGUGGUGAAAUGCGUAGAUAUCGGGAGGAACACCAGUGGCGAAGGCGGCAUCCUGG
This 482-nucleotide ribosomal RNA is filed under the name uncultured bacterium. RNAcentral's name for it is "bacterial SSU rRNA". It matches the Rfam family "Bacterial small subunit ribosomal RNA", at positions 235 to 732 of the family's 1533-position model. The record is from RNAcentral.